GCCAGCCGUGAAACGCCUACAGAAGAACGGACUCCAACGCCAAGUGUCAGAGGUGAAACAACCGUUCCGACAAGGUCAACAAGUGGCACUCCUGAAACACCUACAGAAAAACGGACUCCUACGCCAG
This 127-nucleotide long non-coding RNA is filed under the name Strongylocentrotus purpuratus (purple sea urchin). Its description in RNAcentral is "uncharacterized LOC105439604". Lineage: Eukaryota; Metazoa; Echinodermata; Echinoidea; Camarodonta; Strongylocentrotidae. The record is from RNAcentral.